RNAcentral lists this ribosomal RNA (73 nucleotides) under uncultured Eubacteriales bacterium. RNAcentral describes it as "uncultured Clostridiales bacterium partial 16S ribosomal RNA". Lineage: Bacteria; Bacillati; Bacillota; Clostridia; Eubacteriales. The record is from RNAcentral.
AGAACUUGACAUCCCUCUGACAGAUCCUUAAUCGGAUUCUUCUUCGGACAGAGGAGACAGGUGGUGCAUGGUU